GAAUCGUGGCGAAAACUUUGUGUGAUGCGUU
RNAcentral lists this small nuclear RNA (31 nucleotides) under Phaeodactylum tricornutum CCAP 1055/1. RNAcentral's name for it is "snRNA PTsRNA00004a". Lineage: Eukaryota; Bacillariophyta; Bacillariophyceae; Surirellales; Neidiaceae. The record is from RNAcentral.